Non-coding RNA from Cinara cedri, 285 nucleotides. The record is from the annotation of a GenBank genome assembly. Lineage: Eukaryota; Metazoa; Arthropoda; Insecta; Hemiptera; Aphididae.
UCUCAUUUCUUUCGUUUUAGAAAAUCGAAUUAUAGCUACGGUAUAGAAGCACUCGUAUUAUUAUAGGUAAAUAUAUACAGCCACUUUACUCGUAUAUAAUCACGCGAACAGAAUAACGAAAAAUAAAUCAUUUUGAACGCCGGAACAGCUAGUACAUAUAUAAAUAUUAAGCUCGUAAUAUUGUAUAAAAUAAUACGAGCGAGUAUAUAUGACGGAAUAAAUAUGGCUAAUUAAAUUAUGACGUACGCCGAUAAAUUCGAGUCAUUUUUUUUGUCUGUCAUUGUG